UAAUAGUUAUGUUCUUUAAAUUUAAAGAAAUUGGCGGUAAAUUAAUUAAUUAGAGGAACUUGUUUGAUAAUAGAUAUUACACAUUAAAUCUUACUUAUUAAUGUUUAGUCAAUUUGUAUAUCGUCGUUUAGAAUAUUUUUAUUGAAUUAAUUAUUCUGAUUAUUAGAUUAAUCAAAAAUCAGAUCAAGAUACAGUUUAUAAAUAUAGUCUUUAAUGAGUUACAUUUUAGUGUAUAAAAAAUGAAUUUUUAUUAGAAUUAAUUUAAUGAAGGUGGAUUUAAAAGUAAUUAUUAAUUAAUAUGUUAUAAUGAAUUGAUGAUAAUAAUUUAUGU
RNAcentral lists this ribosomal RNA (331 nucleotides) under Ammothella appendiculata. RNAcentral describes it as "partial 12S ribosomal RNA". Lineage: Eukaryota; Metazoa; Arthropoda; Pycnogonida; Pantopoda; Ammotheidae. The record is from RNAcentral.